RNAcentral lists this ribosomal RNA (524 nucleotides) under uncultured haloarchaeon. RNAcentral's name for it is "bacterial SSU rRNA". It matches the Rfam family "Archaeal small subunit ribosomal RNA", at positions 1 to 526 of the family's 1478-position model. Lineage: Archaea; Methanobacteriati; Methanobacteriota; Halobacteria; Halobacteriales; Halobacteriaceae. The record is from RNAcentral.
AUUCCGGUUGAUCCUGCCGGAGGCCAUUGCUAUCGGAGUCCGAUUUAGCCAUGCUAGUCGCACGGGUUCAGACCCGUGGCGGAUAGCUCAGUAACACGUGGCCAAACUACCCUGUGGACGACAAUAACCUCGGGAAACUGAGGCUAAUCCUCGAUACGGCUUCCAACCUGGAGUGGUGGAAGUCGAAAACGCUUCGGCGCCACAGGAUGCGGCUGCGGCCGAUUAGGUAGACGGUGGGGUAACGGCCCACCGUGCCAGUAAUCGGUACGGGUGAUGAGAGUCAGAGCCCGGAGACGGAAUCUGAGACAAGAUUCCGGGCCCUACGGGGCGCAGCAGGCGCGAAACCUUUACACUGCACGGAAGUGCGAUAGGGGAAUCCCAAGUGCGAGGGCAUAUAGCCCUCGCUUUUCUCGACUGUAAGGUGGUCGACGAAUAAGAGCUGGGCAAGACCGGUGCCAGCCGCCGCGGUAAUACCGGCAGCUCAAGUGAUGUCCCAUAUUAUUGGGCCUAAAGCGUCCGUAGCU